CUCACUAAAUGUAAGAAUUAGUUAGUGGAGAAGAAACUUAACAAGGAUUCCCUUAGUAAUAGCAAAUGAACAUGGAAGAACCCAAGGCUGAAUCCCUGCCCCAGAGUUUGGUGCUGGGAACAUGGCAUAUAGAAGAUGCAUUCUUUUGUGCUGCUCAUAGGGGAGCCAAGUCCUUCUGUUUGAGGCUUAACUUGUGGAUGGUGUAGGGCAGUAGAAGCCCCUUGAGCACUGCACCUGGGUAUUACUGGAGUGAUACUGCUUGAGAAUGUAGUCUAAAGUGGGUGAUAAAUGUUAUCUAAGGCCAAAUACUGGUGAAAAACUGAAAUCCAAUAAGUACUUUAAUGGAAAGUUAAAGAGAAUUUUGAACAUGUGAAAUUAUUAAGGGUUGUGACCUCAGAUCAGACAUGGCAAUCCCACACCCUCGGUCCUGGGUGGUGGCUCUACUCAUUUAGUCUUGGAAACAA
RNAcentral lists this non-coding RNA (464 nucleotides) under Oryctolagus cuniculus (rabbit). Its description in RNAcentral is "Eukaryotic large subunit ribosomal RNA". It matches the Rfam family "Eukaryotic large subunit ribosomal RNA", at positions 24 to 499 of the family's 3401-position model. The record is from Rfam by way of RNAcentral. Lineage: Eukaryota; Metazoa; Chordata; Mammalia; Lagomorpha; Leporidae.